CUCACUUCUCGGUUUUUUGCCCAACAUCAAAGUUUAGUAUCUGUUCUUAGCAGCUGAAUAUCUGAAACGGUCCCUAUUUGGGGUGACUAGUCAAGAAAGGAGAUGUAGAAAGGCUAUUUCUAAAUGAGUGGUAGUUAUACAUACAUGCACACCUAUAUGCAACAAAUAUUUGGAAUGCUUUCAUUAU
Molecule: small nuclear RNA, 187 nt
Organism: Octopus sinensis (East Asian common octopus)
Lineage: Eukaryota; Metazoa; Mollusca; Cephalopoda; Octopoda; Octopodidae
Product: U2 spliceosomal RNA
Exons: 1
Source: RefSeq, a predicted model, not a curated record